AGUGAACGCUGGCGGUAGGCCUAACACAUGCAAGUCGAACGGCAGCACAGUAAGAGCUUGCUCUUACGGGUGGCGAGUGGCGGACGGGUGAGGAAUACAUCGGAAUCUACUUUUUCGUGGGGGAUAACGUAGGGAAACUUACGCUAAUACCGCAUACGACCUACGGGUGAAAGCAGGGGAUCUUCGGACCUUGCGCGAUUGAAUGAGCCGAUGUCGGAUUAGCUAGUUGGCGGGGUAAAGGCCCACCAAGGCGACGAUCCGUAGCUGGUCUGAGAGGAUGAUCAGCCACACUGGAACUGAGCCACGGUCCAGACUCCUACGGGAGGCAGCAGUGGGGAUUAUUGGCCAAUGGGCGCAAGCCGGAUCCAGCCAUACCGAGUGGGUGAAGAAGGCCUUCGGGUUGUAAAGCCCUUUUGUGGGGAAAGAAAAGCAGCAGGUUAAUACCCCGCUGUUCUGACGGUACCCAAAGAAUAAGCACCGGCUAACUUCGUG
Molecule: ribosomal RNA, 492 nt
Filed under: uncultured bacterium
Lineage: Bacteria
Description: partial 16S ribosomal RNA
Rfam family: Bacterial small subunit ribosomal RNA
Source: RNAcentral